This 256-nucleotide ribosomal RNA is filed under the name uncultured bacterium. RNAcentral's name for it is "partial 16S ribosomal RNA". It matches the Rfam family "Bacterial small subunit ribosomal RNA", at positions 524 to 776 of the family's 1533-position model. The record is from RNAcentral.
UACGAAGGGGGGCUAGCGUUGCUCGGAAUCACUGGGCGUAAAGGGUGCGUAGGCGGUUCAGUAAGUCGGGUGUGAAAACUUUGGGCUUAACCCAAAGCGUGCAUCCGAUACUGCUGUGACUUGAGUACGGUAGGGGAGCGGGGGAAUUCCUAGUGUAGCGGUGAAAUGCGCAGAUAUUAGGAGGAACACCGGUGGCGAAGGCGCCGCUCUGGGCCGAAACUGACGCUGAGGAGCGAAAGCAUGGGUAGCAAACAGG